CAACCAUCAAGCCCCAGGCUUGCGUUGGGUCCCUGCGGCUGUCCGCAGGCCCUGAAAUACAGUGGCGGGCUCGCUAGUCACUCCGAGCGCAGUAAUACAUCUCGCUCAGGGCGUGCGGCGGGUGCCGGCCGUGAAACAACCCCUUCUAAA
RNAcentral lists this unclassified non-coding RNA (150 nucleotides) under uncultured Sordariales. RNAcentral's name for it is "sequence contains ITS2". Lineage: Eukaryota; Fungi; Ascomycota; Sordariomycetes; Sordariales. RNAcentral also lists the same sequence under 1 other name. The record is from RNAcentral.